RNAcentral lists this transfer RNA (70 nucleotides) under Precis antilope (darker commodore). Its description in RNAcentral is "tRNA-Gln". The record is from RNAcentral. Lineage: Eukaryota; Metazoa; Arthropoda; Insecta; Lepidoptera; Nymphalidae. RNAcentral also lists the same sequence under 3 other names.
UUAUAUUUUAGUGUAUGAUGCACGAUAGUUUUUGAAAUUGUAAGAUAUAGUUUAAUUCUAUAAAAUAUAA